This 107-nucleotide non-coding RNA is filed under the name Streptococcus pantholopis. RNAcentral's name for it is "Streptococcus RNA 266". It matches the Rfam family "Streptococcus RNA 266". The record is from Rfam by way of RNAcentral. Lineage: Bacteria; Bacillati; Bacillota; Bacilli; Lactobacillales; Streptococcaceae.
AAUGAUAGUUUUGACGCUUUUUCAUUAUAAAUUAUAUGAAAUUUUUUCUACACCCAAAAAGGCCCUAUAACCUCUGCAGUAGAUCCCACUGCAGAGGUUAUAGGGCC